Molecule: ribosomal RNA, 482 nt
Filed under: uncultured bacterium
Lineage: Bacteria
Description: partial 16S ribosomal RNA
Rfam family: Bacterial small subunit ribosomal RNA
Source: RNAcentral
AUUGAACGCUGGCGGCAUGCUUUACACAUGCAAGUCGAACGGAAACAGGCCGCAAGGUGCUGACGAGUGGCGAACGGGUGAGUAAUGCAACGGAACGUGCCCAGUCGCGGGGGAUAACUACUCGCAAGAGUAGCUAAUACCUCAUACGAUCUAUGGAAGAAAGCGGGGGGCCGUAAGAGUUCGCGCGAUUGGAGCGGCCGAUGUCAGAUUAGGUAGUUGGUGGGGUAACGGCCCACCAAGCCAACGAUCUGUAGCUGGUCUGAGAGGACGACCAGCCACACUGGAACUGAGACACGGCCCAGACUCCUACGGGAGGCAGCAGUGGGGAAUUUUGGACAAAGGGCGCAAGCCUGAUCCAGCAAUGCCGCGUGCAGGAAGAAGGCCUUCGGGUUGUAAACUGCUGUUGUACGGAACGAAACGGCUCUGGUUAAUACCCGGAGCUAAUGACGGCACCGUAAGAAUAAGCACCGGCUAACUACGUG